GGCAGCAGCCGCGGUAACACCGGCGGCCCGAGUGGUGAUCGUGAUUAUUGGGUCUAAAGGGUCCGUAGCCGGUUUGGUCAGUCCUCCGGGAAAUCUGAUAGCUCAACUAUUAGGCUUUCGGGGGAUACUGCCAGACUUGGAACCGGGAGAGGUAAGAGGUACUACAGGGGUAGGAGUGAAAUCUUGUAAUCCCUGUGGGACCACCUGUGGCGAAGGCGUCUUACCAGAACGGGUUCGACGGUGAGGGACGAAAGCUGGGGGCACGAACCGGAUUAGAUACCCGGGUAGUCCCAGCCGUAAACGAUGCUCGCUAGGUGUCAGGCAUGGCGCGACCGUGUCUGGUGCCGCAGGGAAGCCGUGAAGCGAGCCACCUGGGAAGUACGGCCGCAAGGCUGAAACUUAAAGGAAUUGGCGGGGGAGCACAACAACGGGUGGAGCCCUGCGGUUUAAUUGGACUCAACGCCGGACAACUCACCGGGGGCGACAGCAAUAUGUAGGCCAAGCUGAAGACUUUGCCUGAAUCGCUGAGAGAAGAGGUGCAUGG
This 544-nucleotide ribosomal RNA is filed under the name uncultured archaeon. RNAcentral's name for it is "bacterial SSU rRNA". It matches the Rfam family "Archaeal small subunit ribosomal RNA", at positions 457 to 997 of the family's 1478-position model. The record is from RNAcentral.